CAUCUUUUGCUAUAAAGAAUUGGUGAUCGUUCCUACCGCCAUUGCUUGAUGUGCUCAGUUUCUAUUGUCUAACAAAAUGACAUACGUUAGUCUAUGGGAAUAAACAUAUCACUUUUUUAGCAGACCACAUGAACGAAUGGGAUGGACCCCUAAAAAGUUAUUUCUAUAAACCAAUAGAGCUUAGAUCCUUCAUAGCUUAGAUUUUCAAAUUAUUUGUCUGUUCAAAGAAACGGAAAACCAGUGAUCAACAGAGAUCGAAAUUACUCCAGUACCCAGUCUGAACAAAUAAUAUUCUGUGUUGUGUGUCAUGUGCCGUCAAGGAGACAUUUUUGAGUUAACUACAAAUCAAUAUUGACAAAAAAAAUGAAAUUGGGGCAAUAGCACAAAAAAUGUGAACCAAAUAGCUCACUGCAAUUUGUAUAUAAAAUACUGUGCACUUAAUGAGAUCUGUAGUUUGCUAGACAAGAACAUUAUCUACUCACACUAAACCUAUUUUCCUGAUCUUACUGAUACGCAUCAAAGGAUUAGAGCUGCGCACAUGAACGAGCCUGGCAUCAGGACUCAAUACAAGUCAUCCAGCUAAUUUAACAUAGCAAGUAUACAGUAUGUUCCCUUUAAAUGAUAAGUUUAAAGAUAAUGAUACAUUCCAACUAGUUAUAUUAUGGUUGAAUGUCUCUAUUGAAGCACUUUGCAUCUCUGUUCUUCAAGUUGUGGAUUGAAAGUUGCAAUUAUCCACCGAAAAUGACAAUAAAAUUACCAAAAGUC
Long non-coding RNA from Spea bombifrons (plains spadefoot toad), 765 nucleotides. RefSeq lists it as uncharacterized. Lineage: Eukaryota; Metazoa; Chordata; Amphibia; Anura; Pelobatidae. The record is from RefSeq and is a predicted model, not a curated record. The transcript is spliced from 2 exons.